CCGGUCCGCUCCGCCGCCCCAGCGAGACUGAGGUGGCCCGCGCGCCGCCCGGCCCUGGAGACCCCUGGGGGCGUGGCUUCGAUCCCGCGGCCCCGCCCUCCGCCCCGCCCUCACCUGCCCGCGCGCUGGACCCGGGCGGUCGCUCGGCACCCGGCUCUGGGCGCGUUCCCGGGCCGGGGUCCGGGAAUAGGGGGCGUGGCGACGGGAAGAAAGAAGACGGAGGGGCGGCCUGAGGUGGGCCUAGGGGACAGGGAGUUGCUUGAUCUAGGGGCUACCUCAGGGUCUGCUCUGGAAGAAGUGCGUCCUCUGCAGGAAGCUGCUGGAGGAAGACACCACUAGAACAAGGACUUAAACCAAGAAAGUGGGUUCUGGCAAGGGUUACCAUGGAUGGAUCCUGAGGACAUUAUGCUAAGUGAGAUAAGACAAAGACAGUGUGUGUGUGUGUGUGGGGGGGGGGUAAUGGCAAGCCAUCAGGAAAGAGACGCAUCUUUCCUUCUAUAGGCUUGAGUCAAGAACUGUCAUUGGUAAUACCUGGACGAAUGCUUAAAGCGGCGGGAAAAAGAACAGUAAAACUUUCAGGAAAAAGCUAUUAUCCAACAAGUGAGAUAUGGUAGAAAUGAAGUUGAUGUUCCGGGAAGUUCUAAAACAAGGACAGUUGUCUGCAGAAGAUAUAAUCAACUGGUGUUGUGUAAACCCAAACUUUUACCCUUAAAAUCUCUGACCCUGGGGACAGGUGGUGGCACACCUGGUUAAGUGCACACACUACAGUGCACAAGGACCCAGGUUCAAGCCCCUGGUCCCCACCUGCAGGGGGAAAGCUUCACAAGUGGUGAAGCAGGGCUGCAGGUGUUUCUCUGUUUCUCUCCCUCACUAUCUUACCUCCUCUCUCAAUUUCUCUCUAUCCCUAUCCAAUAAAUAAAUAAAUAAAUAAGUAAAAGUUAAGAAAAAUUUUUAAAAAAAUCUCUGACCCUGGAAAAACGAGAAAAUUCAACAAGCAGCACAAGAUACAAUUCGGCAACAAGAAAUGGCAGAAAAGGAAAAGCAGAUAAUCCACUGAAUGAUAACAUUUCUACAGAAUACCCUCCCUUACCUACUAUAAUAGCUAAAAAAUAAUCUGUAUGCUGGAAGUAGUAUGUUAGGAAAGUUGAUGGUAUUCAUGUAUGUAAUAUAAAAAUAUUCGACUAAUAAAACUAGUAUUGAAUAUAAA
Long non-coding RNA from Erinaceus europaeus (western European hedgehog), 1207 nucleotides. RefSeq lists it as uncharacterized. The record is from RefSeq and is a predicted model, not a curated record. Lineage: Eukaryota; Metazoa; Chordata; Mammalia; Eulipotyphla; Erinaceidae. The transcript has 2 exons.